UGGGGAAUCUUGCGCAAUGGGCGAAAGCCUGACGCAGCCAUGCCGCGUGAAUGAUGAAGGUCUUAGGAUUGUAAAAUUCUUUCACCGGGGAAGAUAAUGACGGUACCCGGAGAAGAAGCCCCGGCUAACUUCGUGCCAGCAGCCGCGGUAAUACGAAUGGGGCUAGCGUUGCUCGGAAUUACUGGGCGUAAAGGGCGCGUAGGCGGACAGUUUAGUCAGAGGUAAAAGCCCAGGGCUCAACCUUGGAACUGCCUUUGAUACUGGCUGUCUUGAGUUCGGGAGAGGUGAGUGGAAUGCCGAGUGUAGAGGUGAAAUUCGUAGAUAUUCGGCGGAACACCAGUGGCGAAGGCGACUCACUGGCCCGAUACUGACGCUGAGGCGCGAAAGCGUGGGGAGCAAACAGG
RNAcentral lists this ribosomal RNA (404 nucleotides) under uncultured prokaryote. Its description in RNAcentral is "bacterial SSU rRNA". It matches the Rfam family "Bacterial small subunit ribosomal RNA", at positions 355 to 776 of the family's 1533-position model. The record is from RNAcentral. RNAcentral also lists the same sequence under 1 other name.